UAAGGAAUAUUGGACAAUGGAGGCAACUCUGAUCCAGCCAUGCCGCGUGAAGGAAUAAGGCCCUAUGGGUUGUAAACUUCUUUUAGACGGGACAAAACCCCUUUACGUGUAAAGGGUUGAUGGUACUGUCAGAAUAAGCAUCGGCUAACUUCGUGCCAGCAGCCGCGGUAAUACGAAGGAUGCAAGCGUUAUCCGGAAUUAUUGGGUUUAAAGGGUGCGUAGGCGGACUAAUAAGUCAGUGGUGAAAGCCUGCAGCUUAACUGCAGAAUUGCCAUUGAUACUGUUAGUCUUGAGUACAGUUGAGGUAGGCGGAAUGUGUCAUGUAGCGGUGAAAUGCUUAGAUAUGACACAGAACACCAAUUGCGAAGGCAGCUUGCUAAGCUGUAACUGACGCUGAGGCACGAAAGCGUGGGGAGCAAACA
This 422-nucleotide ribosomal RNA is filed under the name uncultured bacterium. RNAcentral describes it as "bacterial SSU rRNA". It matches the Rfam family "Bacterial small subunit ribosomal RNA", at positions 355 to 774 of the family's 1533-position model. The record is from RNAcentral.